Molecule: ribosomal RNA, 899 nt
Filed under: uncultured archaeon
Lineage: Archaea
Description: bacterial SSU rRNA
Rfam family: Archaeal small subunit ribosomal RNA
Source: RNAcentral
CUCCGGUUGAUCUUGCCGGACCCGACUGCUAUCGGAUUGGGAUUUAGCCAUGUUAGUUGUGCGUUCCUUGGCUACAGGGGACGCAGCAUACGGCUCAGUAACACGUAGUCAACCUGCCCUGGAGACGUGGACAAACCCGGGAAACUGGGGCCUAUCCGCGAUAGAUGACCUCAUCUGGAAGGAGUGGUCGUCCAAAGGGCGGCACGGGUAUGCUCCGUGCCUUUCGCUCCAGGAUGGGACUGCGGCCGAUCAGGCUGUUGGCGGGGUAAUGGCCCACCAAACCUGUAACCGGUACGGGCUUUGAGAGAAGGAGCCCGGAGAUGGACACUGAGACAAGGGUCCAGGCCCUACGGGGCGCAUCAGGCGCGAAAACUUCGCAAUGCGCGAAAGCGUGACGAGGCUAGUCCGAGUGCCUUCUGCUAAAGAGGGCUUUUCUCGGCUGUAAAUAGGCCGGGAAAUAAGGGGAGGGCAAGUCUGGUGUCAGCCGCCGCGGUAAUACCAGCUCCUCGAGUGGUCGGGACGAUUAUUGGGCCUAAAGCACCCGUAGCCGGUUCCGUAAGUCUUCUGUUAAAUCCAGCUGCUCAACGGCUGGCCUGCAGGAGAUACUGCGAGACUAGGAGGCGGGAGAGGCGGACGGUACUCCGCGUGUAGGGGUAAAAUCCUUUGAUCCGCGGAAGACCACCAGUGGCGAAGGCGGUCUGCCAGAACGCGCUCGACGGUGAGGGGUGAAAGCUGGGGGAGCGAACCGGAUUAGAUACCCGGGUAGUCCCAGCCGUAAACGAUGCGAGCUAGAUGAUUCGAUCGCAGUUCGCGAUCGAAGUGUCGCAGGGAAGCCGUUAAGCUCGCCGCCUGGGGAGUACGGUCGCAAGGCUGAAUCGUAUGCAGACAAUUCUGUAUGC